CCUACGGGGGGCUGCAGUGGGGAAUAUUGGACAAUGGGGGGAACCCUGAUCCAGCCAUGCCGCGUGUGUGAAGAAGGCCCUCGGGUUGUAAAGCACUUUCAGUGAGGAAGAACGCCUGUUGGUUAAUACCCAUCAGGAAAGACAUCACUCACAGAAGAAGCACCGGCUAACUCCGUGCCAGCAGCCGCGGUAAUACGGAGGGUGCGAGCGUUAAUCGGAAUUACUGGGCGUAAAGCGCGCGUAGGUGGCUUGAUAAGCCGGUUGUGAAAGCCCCGGGCUCAACCUGGGAACGGCAUCCGGAACUGUCAAGCUAGAGUGCAGGAGAGGAAGGUAGAAUUCCCGGUGUAGCGGUGAAAUGCGUAGAGAUCGGGAGGAAUACCAGUGGCGAAGGCGGCCUUCUGGACUGACACUGACACUGAGGUGCGAAAGCGUGGGUAGCAAACAGGAUUAGAUACCCUAGUAGUC
Molecule: ribosomal RNA, 465 nt
Filed under: Vreelandella stevensii
Lineage: Bacteria; Pseudomonadati; Pseudomonadota; Gammaproteobacteria; Oceanospirillales; Halomonadaceae
Description: partial 16S ribosomal RNA
Rfam family: Bacterial small subunit ribosomal RNA
Source: RNAcentral